GCUUAAUUUGAAUCAACACGGGGAAACUUACCAGGACCAGAUGUUUUUUAUGACUGACAGGCUUCGGGUCUUUCAGGAUAUUGUUUUUGGUGGUGCAUGGCCGUUGGUGGUGCGUGGGUUGACCUGUCUAGCGUUGAUUCAGCUAACGAGCGAGAUUAUCGCCAAUUAUUUACUUUGCCGAAGUCCUUCGGUUAAAGUUCUAAUUGGGACUCCCUGCGAUUUUAGCAGGUGGAAGAGGGUAGCAAUAACAGGUCCGUGAUGCCCUUUAGAUGCUCUGGGCUGCACGCGUGCUACAAUGUUAGGAUCAAUAGGACUGCGAGCCUGAGAGGGUGCGCUACUCUUAUAAUCCCUAACGUAGUUGGGAUUGACGUUUGUAAUCAGCGUCAUGAACCAGGAAUCCCUUGUAAAUGUGUGUCAACAACGCACGUUGAAUACGUCCCUGCCCUUUGUACACACCGCCCGUCGCUCCUACCGAUUGGAUGACUCGGUGAAAUCACCGGAUGCUUACGAGCAGAAAGUGAUUAAAUCACGUUAUCUAGAGGAAGGAGAAGUCGUAACAAGGUAACGGUAGGUGAACCUGCCGUUGGAUCAGUU
RNAcentral lists this non-coding RNA (594 nucleotides) under Trichomonas vaginalis G3. RNAcentral describes it as "Eukaryotic small subunit ribosomal RNA". It matches the Rfam family "Eukaryotic small subunit ribosomal RNA", at positions 1188 to 1831 of the family's 1831-position model. Lineage: Eukaryota; Parabasalia; Trichomonadida; Trichomonadidae. The record is from Rfam by way of RNAcentral.